UACGUAGGGGGCAAGCGUUGUCCGGAAUCAUUGGGCGUAAAGCGCGCGUAGGUGGCUAUGUAAGUCCGUUGUGAAAGUCAAAGGCUCAACCUUUGAAAGCCGAUGGAUACUGCAUAGCUAGAGUACGGAAGAGGCGAGUGGAAUUCCUGGUGUAGCGGUGGAAUGCGCAGAUAUCAGGAGGAACACCAGUGGCGAAGGCGGCUCACUGGCCCGAUACUGACGCUGAGGCACGAAAGCGUGGGGAGCAAACAGG
RNAcentral lists this ribosomal RNA (253 nucleotides) under uncultured bacterium. RNAcentral's name for it is "partial 16S ribosomal RNA". It matches the Rfam family "Bacterial small subunit ribosomal RNA", at positions 524 to 776 of the family's 1533-position model. The record is from RNAcentral.